AAGCAAACGCAAAAAAGAAGAAACAUAAGCUACUGGCAAAUGGAUUGACCUCAACCUCGGCAAGGCCGAACUGAUCAAGCAAGUACAAAAGGCGAUAAAAGGCCAAAAAUCGAGGAAGUUGAUCAAGGAGAGUAGUUAAGCAGUUAAUGAGGGGACCACUGGGUAUCAGAAGAAGGACAUGCGAGGCUAUCAGCUGGAUGGUGCGCAGCAAUCUGUUAUCAAGGACAACGUUCUAGAAGGGGACACGUGUUGAUACAUGAGACGCAAGGACGGAGCUGAGUCACGGAUUUGUUACUGAAAGCGUCGUCGAUUCUAGAAGAAGAGCAGGUAGCAAUCCAUGAGUCGCUCAUUCUCAACAUGAGUGAAUAUUCCCUGUCAAGAUCGUUACUGGAGACCGAGUCGAGCUUAUAAAUAGAGGAUGUGCCACCACAUGAAGAAAGGAACCCGAUCCUUUACUUUUCGUCUAGUUUAGCUUAGUUUAGUUCUCUAGUUUAGUCCAGUUCUCUAGAAUAGCUUAGCUUAGAUAAAAUAAUGGGUAGUUAGAAAGGGCAAUCAAAGAAGCGCUGCAGAAUACUUGUUAUCUGUUGGCGUAUUCCUAAAUUUCCUGCCGAGAUUCUUCUCGCUUUUACUUGCUUUCUUAUUUUCCGAAGUAUUAGCUUAGUUUUAAAUUUACGUUGUACUUAGUUUAAGUUUAAUCGAAGUUGUUUUAUUUUAA
This is a long non-coding RNA of Salvia splendens (bonfire salvia), 715 nucleotides long. RefSeq lists it as uncharacterized. Lineage: Eukaryota; Viridiplantae; Streptophyta; Magnoliopsida; Lamiales; Lamiaceae. The record is from RefSeq and is a predicted model, not a curated record. The transcript has 2 exons.